This 3232-nucleotide unclassified non-coding RNA is filed under the name Nilaparvata lugens (brown planthopper). Its description in RNAcentral is "uncharacterized LOC111057455, transcript variant X2". The record is from RNAcentral. Lineage: Eukaryota; Metazoa; Arthropoda; Insecta; Hemiptera; Delphacidae.
ACAUUGGGGUAUUGAGCGGCGGCUGGAGAAGUGGCUAUCAUCGGCUCGAAAAUAUCCCUCAAUUUUCAAAAAUAAUCGGUCUGAAAUGUAACCUGAGUUCUCGGGAAACUGUGGUAGAUUUUGGGUUGAAGUGUAGGGAAGGUUCGUGUCGAAAAAAGGUCCGCGUGUGGGGUUUUGUUUUCGGGGUUGUUUUUUGGGGAAAAUUUGAGUACGGGUUCCAUUGUGAGCUGAACUGUGUUGGGGUUGAAUUGGUAGUGUCACAAUGAAUAACAUCUUGGGACUGGACUUCCUGAUUUUGUGCUCUCUGAUAACAUUCCAGUCGGCUUGGAGUUACGGCAUUUUCAAAGAUUCGUGUACAUUCCCUGAGGAUUGGGCGGGCAGAUGGUUUCAGAGCGGGGUUCGCACAGUGAUCAUCAACAGCACCUCAAUCCAAUACAAGGGCAACUGCAUCCAGUCCGAGGGAGACAAGUUCCUCAUAGAAGACAAGGAAGACAACUGCUUUCGUUGUGUAGUGAUUCACGAGAAGCAUGAGAACGUCCUCCAAUAUAAAGAAACAUACUGUGAAUGGAGAGAACCCCUGGAGACGUUAUGCGAGAAAAUCACAGGAGACGCACCCCUCUUCAGUAUGUUUCGGGUGGAGGCCAAACCCUCCCCAUGCCCAUUUAAACCCCCCUUCACCUACACUUACAACAGGGGUUCUGGAGAAUGCAGAUUGCCAGUAUCUAGAGCUGAUCCUUGUACUGAAGAUUCAAGACUGCUUUUGAGGUAUCAAGCAUGUCCAGAUGUGCACAACUCGGAAAGUUCUGUGGAGGAGUUGGUGUGCCUGGCAUGGUGGAAGGACGGUUCUAUGCGCUACCUGGUGGGUCAACUGCAUCAUCACAUGGUGAAAGAUGACGAGGAUAGAUACAGGUGCUUUGUGUUCGAGGAGAGGGCAGGUGGCAGCUUCAACCUGGCGCAAUCAGGUGAUGCCACCUGCAAUGGACUCCUAUCACCCACCGAGGGGUCACGUACACUGCAGCUCAAAAGAGUGGAAACCCAUCACAACAGCGGUGGGAGAGUGUGCCGAUUCCCAGCCUGGCUGACAACGCAUCACCUCUGGCACACACUGGACUACUCUCGCAGUUACCACUUCUCCCCGCGUAACGGCACGUUACGCGUUACGUCACCCACGCACGUUACGGUGCUCAGGGCACAGUGUCAUCACGUUACGCACGCCACUGACACGCAGGCAUUACUCGUUACGCAUCUCACUACUGGCUGUCAAAGCGGCUAUUCGUGUAUGAUGUUCUACAAACGUGAGUCACAUGUGAUUGAGCUGCAACAAUCAGCAAAUCGUACACAAACUCCGGAGGAGGCAUGUUUGUCUUUCAACUUCAACCCACUGAUUCUUCCAUACACAACUUUAACAACUUCUACCCCGCGACCCCGAAAAUGCCCCUAUCUGGGUCGUUACGAGGUCUCUCUGAACGAGACCCUGUACAGCGGCCCGCCCGGUCUCAGCCUGCUAUUGGCCAAUCCCAGCAUGGCGCUGACCAAUAGGAACGCAGCGUCGCAGGGAGGCUCCGCCCCUUCCACGCCCCUACUGCCUGAAAACUGCAAACUGCGUCAAACUCAGACGCUCACUGUUGGAUGUUCUGAGUCUCAGGACAAGAUGGAGUUCCAUACGAGGGUGUACUGUGCAGGAGGUGGCCAGGGGGGUGCAGGGGGGCAGACCAGCACUAACAGGUGGUACAGCACCAGUGAUGGAAGUGAGGAGGAACAAGCACCAGCUAUUGACACGCUCACUGCAUACUCGUGCCACGGAGACUGGACAGACCACAACGGCACAACCCGCUACCUGAUCGUGCUGCCCUCGUCCCGCAAAUCGGUUGGAGCUCGUCGCUACUGUUUCGUCAUGCAAGAUGCUGCACAAGCGGGUGGCCUGGAAGGCAGCGUGCACAUCUCCUCGCUGACCGAGUCCUGCUACAGACAUCACCAGCAGCCUCCUCCUCCUCCCUCCACUGCCUACUCCUCACAGUCUACUGCGCAUGCGCACAUCUACCAUAACAUCAACAAUCCCCCCUCCUCUGCCUCCUCUACUGAUCAGCAGAGGGGUGCCGGCGAAAUGAUGAUGUCUUUCAAUAUUACUCCGCUUGGAGAAUGCAGCAGCGCAGUUAUGCAAAGAUCUCAGCUGUUCAGAGUCUCGAUUAUUCCGAUUGUAGGCCUAGCUGUCUCACGUCUCCUCAUUCUAAGAUGAUGCCAAACGCCCACAGUAAUAUUCUAAACAAAACAACAGUGUGAAAAAAAACAUUCCACUAAUGAUAAAUAUUAAUUGAUAAUUUGAUACCAGAUAAAUUAAUGUAAUAUAAAUAAUAUAUAUCUGUCCAGUGCCUGAUUAAACGGGAGCAAGAAGGCAUAUAACAUAUAAAACUGUUUUGUUUCAAUAUGGAACAAAAUGUCUAGGUGGCAUUGGAAAAUAUUUUCGAGAAAUACUUUCAAAAAAAAAAACAUUAGAGAAACAUUGUUGUCAAAAUGGAGGUAGAAAGCAGAGGGCGAUUUUCGCCAAGAAGAAAAGCUGCUUAUCGAUUAUUUGCAGCGAUAGAUCGAUGGAGAUGUCGAGAGUCUGAGAAUCGAUGUACUGAUAGUUGAUUAAUUGAUUCUCAUUCAACUUUUGGAUGAGUCCAGAGUCCAAUGUAGGGCUACCUAGAAUACAAUCUAAAAUAUAUUCUAGGUACCUUGGAAGAGUUUAUUGAUACAUUGACAGUAAAUGACAUACGGAGGGAAGGGGACUUCAUUUAGAUCAGAAUGCGGAAUCAAUACAUCGUCCAAUAUUUAUCGACUGUGUUGAAUCGGAGAUUCGAUAGUAUCGAAAGUUAAAUAUCGACAGCAUUAAAUGGAGUAUCGAUAUUUCAAUAGUAUCGAUAGCAGAAGAAUCAAAACAGUUUGAAACAAUGCGCCAAGUAACUUUAGCUGAUACCGAUGCUACUGAGGAUGAAGAUGAUAUUCCAAUAACAAGAUACACGGCUUUUAGAAGAAUGACACCCAAGCCACUCUAUUGUCCGGUUUGCUCGUUGAUGGUUUUGGUCUUUACGGUUGUAUCACUUCUAAUUGUCAUUGGAUUGAUGUCUAUUUUGCCGUGAUACUGUAUCAAAUUUAUGGAUUUGUGGCAUGAUACUGUAUCAAAAUGAUGGAAUGUUGCCAGAUGCUGUAUCAAAUUCAUGAAAUAUUGCCGUGGUACUGUGUUUAAUUUAUA